UGCCUCAUCCAUCGUGAGGCCCCUGGGAGAGCCUUGCUGUAGCUCCUCAGAUGGUUCUGAUUGGCAACCACCUGUGGGUGAGCCGGGCCCAGCCCCACACACCACACCUUGCUGUGACACCUGGAGACCAUUGAGGUGUAGAACAGCCUGGAAGGAGGAGGUUCCAGCUUCACAGUGUGGAUGCCGACCGCAAUUUAGGGAACACAGGCCCUUCUCUCUCCUGGAAAGACCAGGGUCAUCUGGCCAGAACUCCACCAGUGAACUCCAGUCUCCAAAGCAAGGCUCUUGGGGUCUUAUUCACUUCAUUAAUAUUUAAUCGAAGAAUCAUACUGAGCUAUUUCCAGACUCUGAGUGGAGGGAACAUGGUACUGCCUUCCCAGUGGAAUUCUGAUUAAUGCACCAUCUCUGUGGUCCCUGAGGAUCACCAACUUCCUCAUCCCCCAACUAUACAUAUUUAUUCUGUGGAGAGGGAGGCAGAAAGUUGGAGAAAGCCCUUUUUAGCCCAACACAUGAUCUUCAGAAAAGUCAACAGACCUUUCCUGAUGGUCACCUAGUGGCCUUGCUGUUUCUCCACGUGAAUGUGAUAUUGAAUAUUGUACAAAGCCACUUGAAAAAGAUAUAAAAGAAGCCUGACAUUGGCCUUUCAGAGACGGACUCAGUGAGCAUGACCCAAUUAAUAACAGUAAGACAGAGGCAGCUGGGAAGGUGCAUGGUGUAGGCUCUUCCUGCACCCGGGCACUGGACAGACACUGGAGGACAGAUAUGUGCCGGCUGAGAUCUCAUCCAGGAUGAAGAAACUGAAGCAUGCAGAGGUUAGUGACUUGCCCAAGGUCACAUGGUUGGAGAAUUCAUGGUUCAAAUCCAGGAACUGAAGAUGAUCAUGUCCUCUCUAGUUUUCUGGAGUGUAAAAAUCAGACACUGUGUGAUUCUUCAGAUGAAAAAGAAAACUGCUCUUACGCUAACAAGGAGGUUGGAAUAUGUGUCUUGCGCCUUAGAAAGCAUGGAAAGCAAAUAGUCAUGAAGAAAUAGAAAAUUAGGAAGACAAAUCAAUCAACUCCCUUGUCUCAUUAAAAAAUAAAGUCAGUCUUCCUUUCUCUUUUUGUGACACAUUUACUGAAAGUUUAGACAAAAGUUUAUCAAGGAAUAAUGAGAGGACAUUUUCUCUUUAGUUCCAACAGAUCAAAGAAUAUACAUUAUGAAAACAAAAGAAGUCUGGUUCUGUCUGAGUUGGGGUGAAAAGCUUAAAGGACCUGAAGAGGCAUUUAUACUGUGUGUAUGAGAUACAGAAAGGGUACGUGGGGACAGGUCAUUAAAUUUUACUGUAGAUUGUGAAGUCUUCCCUACCUGCUUUGCAGAUUUCGGUGAAGUCUUAAGU
This is a long non-coding RNA of Bos taurus (domestic cattle), 1375 nucleotides long. NCBI's taxonomy places the organism in Eukaryota, Metazoa, Chordata, Mammalia, Artiodactyla, Bovidae. The record is from Ensembl.